GUGGGGAAUUUUGGACAAUGGGCGCAAGCCUGAUCCAGCAAUGCCGCGUGCAGGAAGAAGGCCUUCGGGUUGUAAACUGCUUUUGUACGGAACGAAACGGUCCUGGCUAAUAUCCGGGGCUAAUGACGGUACCGUAAGAAUAAGCACCGGCUAACUACGUGCCAGCAGCCGCGGUAAUACGUAGGGUGCGAGCGUUAAUCGGAAUUACUGGGCGUAAAGCGUGCGCAGGCGGUGCUGUAAGACAGGCGUGAAAUCCCCGGGCUCAACCUGGGAAUUGCGCUGGUGACUGCAGUGCUGGAGUGCGGCAGAGGGGGAUGGAAUUCCGCGUGUAGCAGUGAAAUGCGUAGAUAUGCGGAGGAACACCGAUGGCGAAGGCAAUCCCCUGGGCCUGCACUGACGCUCAUGCACGAAAGCGUGGGGAGCAAACAGGAUUAGAAACCCGAGUAGUCC
RNAcentral lists this ribosomal RNA (450 nucleotides) under uncultured bacterium. Its description in RNAcentral is "partial 16S ribosomal RNA". It matches the Rfam family "Bacterial small subunit ribosomal RNA", at positions 354 to 796 of the family's 1533-position model. The record is from RNAcentral.